GACGAACGCUGGCGGCGUGCUUAACACAUGCAAGUCGAACGGAAAGGCCCUGCUUUUGUGGGGUGCUCGAGUGGCGAACGGGUGUAAAACACGUGAGUAACCUGCCCUUGACUUUGGUAUAACUUCAGAAAACUGGGGAUAAUACCGUAUAGGAGCUCGUGCUGCAUGGUGGGGGUUGGAAAGUUUGGGGGGUUGGGGAGGGACGCGCGGUUUAUCAGCUUGUUGGGGGGGUAGUGGCUUCCCAAGGUUUUGACGGGUCGCCGGCCUGAGAGGGGGACGGGCCACAUUGGGCCUGGGAUACGGCCCGGCCUCCUACGGGGGGCGGCAGGGGGGAUAAUGCAACAAUGGGCGGAGGCCGGAGGCAGCACGGCCGCGGGCGGGAUACCGGCCUUGGGGUGGAAAACCGUUUUCGCCUGUGACGAAGCGUGAGUGACGGUAAUGGGUAAAGAAGCACCGGCUAACUACGUG
RNAcentral lists this ribosomal RNA (468 nucleotides) under uncultured bacterium. RNAcentral's name for it is "partial 16S ribosomal RNA". It matches the Rfam family "Bacterial small subunit ribosomal RNA", at positions 28 to 507 of the family's 1533-position model. The record is from RNAcentral.